Molecule: long non-coding RNA, 1561 nt
Organism: Anser cygnoides (Swan goose)
Lineage: Eukaryota; Metazoa; Chordata; Aves; Anseriformes; Anatidae
Source: Ensembl
GCAGGCCUCCCAUGCUGUGGAAGGGGAUUAUAUCUGCCUUUUGAGAUACAGAGUUCUGGGAAAACCUGCUCUGCUUGCCGUUGCAGAGUGUAUACACAGACUUAGAAGGCAGGAGAUGCUGGGAGCAUCUGGCUUUUAUCAAAGUAUUCUUGCUUGCCCCAGCAAGCACCUGCCCAGCUCAACAACUUAUCCCAUCGGAGCCCAACAGUAAGAGGUACCCUGCUGGGUGACACAACCAGGGAACACAGCACAGACUGUGUCCUAAGAACAUGCAGUGUGUGGGGGCUGAUGGAUGUCAUAAUGUCCCUCUAGCACUGGGCUGGACUCAGGCCUUCCAGUAGACAGCCAAGAGAUAGUUGGAGUCCUGGGAUAAGGUGGGUGGAUAAGCGCCUCCAGGUUCCAGGACAAAUUUUCCUUGUGCACAGUCUGUACCUCAAACAGGACCGAACAGCUUCUUGCCUUUGUUCUCUCGCCCUCCCCCUGUGGGGUGUAGCAGCCUAGGUUGGUUGCACAGGUCUGAACCUACUGCAGGAGUCCUGAGGAAGCGGUCAGUGAGACUGCAGUACCAUAGCAUCACGUUCCUGACUGCCUCAGCACCUUUGUCCAGCUUUUCAGCACAUGAAAACCCCUGUUGGCUACUCUGCGUAUCUAAGGAAUAUGGAGAGAAAAGGCCAAAACAAGGUAAGGCAAGAGGAUUUUCUGUACUUUUUAGGUCUGUGAAUUAAAGAGUGCCCAUCAAGAGCCUGUUUCCUUUCUGGGAUGACAGCUCCAUGGUUGCAUACUGAUUCAUGUCAUCAGGUCUGUGUGCCACCAGGUCCAACAGUUUGGAAAUAGAUCUGUUUUCACUCUUGCUGUGGAGGCAAAACUCCUGCCAUCAAACCCUAUGAAGUGAUUUUUGCAGAGGCUGGGAGGACCUUGUACCCUGGUGGAUAUGCUUCUGUAGGGAUUGAUUGUCUUGAGGUUUGUCAAUCUGAGAAUACCACACAGCAUGUAUAUGCGCUGGGUGUUUUCAUCUCCUGCUCUGAGAUCAUAGGAGGGUGUGGAAUCAGGGGCCUAAGACAUCCUCUCCUAUUCUCAAUCCCCUUCUAUUUUACUCUGAUCUCAUGUACCUGCACUCCUUAAGUAUUUUUUUGUGUCUUCUUUAUUAAAUGAUACAUUUCCAACCAAAAGUCUAUGUAUGUAUGUCACACUCUGUUCUUUUUUUUUUUUUUUUUUUUUUUUAAGUGCUUUAAUUGUGCANNNNNNNNNNNNNNNNNNNNUUUUUUUUUUUUUUUUUUAAGGGCCUUAAUUGUGCAGCUCCAGAAGUAACAACAGAAGAAAGGGGAAAUUUCUGUAAAAGAGGUAAACCAUUGCAUCAGUUAUACCUCAUCUGCCUGCUCCAAAAAUGUGUGGUAUUUACUUAAACAGUAGUCCUUAAAUGUGCAGUACUGGUAUCUGAAGCCUGUGCUUUGGGGAGACUUUCCCAGUGCUUUAUUGUACCCAUGACUGCUGUUUCAAUAUCCACUGCUCCUGUCCCAAGCAUUGAACAAUGUGAGAUUAUUGCCUAAGCGAUACAGCCACA